UCUACCUCCUGUGAGGAAAGCUCAGUGUAGACGGGUUUUCUUUGAGAAGAAUCUAUUCUGACUUAUGCCUCUCUGUGGUGGCUUCCUGCCUCAGGUUUUGAAAGUCAAGGCCCUCCACGAUUCUGUGGGCUGCUUCUCUGAGGAGCCUCAUAGCUCUGAGUUUUACAAGAGUUGAUCCCAGAGGCCUGCAUUUGCCUGACCAAGGACAAAGCACAGCUUCAGUUACCCUCGGUCAACCAUGUUCUAGAAGCAGAUGAUCCUCCUUCUGAUGUGCUGUUGGAAUAUCAGUGGUACGCUAACGCUAGGUCACGAUGCCUAUGUCAUUCACCUCACUUCACCCCCCAGCUCUUACUCCGGGAGAAUCCAGCUGCUGUGUUUUGAGUAACUCUAUGGAGAGCCUCAUGUGACAAGGAAAUAAUAUCUUCAGUCUAUAGCCAACAAGGACCUAAAGCCUGCCCACAGCCAUGUGACUGAGCUAGGAAGCCAACUUUCUGAUGCAUGCCAAUAGCCUCAUGAGUGAGUUUGGAAGUGGAUCCUCUUGCAGUUGACCCUUGAGAUGACUGAAGCCUGGCUAACACCUUUACUGAUACCUAGUGAGAGACCCUGGGUGCAACCACCCAACUGAGCUACACCUGCACCUGAAUUCCUGACCCACAGAAACUGAGAUAACAGAUACUGCGUCAAGCUGCUAAAUUUUGAGGCAAUUUGUUAUGUAGCAAUAGGUAACUGAUACAAGUGCCUACUAUUUUCAGGUAGUAUGCUAGGCCCUAAGAAGGUGAAAAAUGAGUGAUGCCUUGUCACUGUGUUUGGGGAGAGGAGGAGACAGCAGUCCAACACCUGAAUUUUAAGAAGCCAAACUGAAUUAUCUAAAGAACACAGACAAGUGUAAUUUGCUUCAUUGUUUUUGCUCAUAAAAUCGAGCAGAGAACCGCUGACGUGUUUCCAUGGAAUAAUUGUGCUUGCUAUUGAAAAACUGGCUCAGGUGAUAUUUUAUGAAAUCUCUACUUUGAAAAUCUGAGGGAAAGUUUGGAAAGUAUUGUAUGUUUUUUGUUUGGUUAAUUGUUUUCCUGCUUUUUCCCCUCUCCCUCCUGGCUCUGGGGUUC
Molecule: non-coding RNA, 1103 nt
Organism: Manis javanica (Malayan pangolin)
Lineage: Eukaryota; Metazoa; Chordata; Mammalia; Pholidota; Manidae
Source: RefSeq, a predicted model, not a curated record